RNAcentral lists this ribosomal RNA (559 nucleotides) under Enterococcus faecium. RNAcentral's name for it is "bacterial SSU rRNA". It matches the Rfam family "Bacterial small subunit ribosomal RNA", at positions 864 to 1425 of the family's 1533-position model. The record is from RNAcentral. Lineage: Bacteria; Bacillati; Bacillota; Bacilli; Lactobacillales; Enterococcaceae.
GUAUUCCGCCUGGGGAGUACGGUCGCAAGAUUAAAACUCAAAGGAAUUGACGGGGACCCGCACAAGUAGCGGAGCAUGUGGUUUAAUUCGAAGCAACGCGAAGAACCUUACCUACACUUGACAUCCCUUGCAUUACUCUUAAUCGAGGAAAUCCCUUCGGGGACAAGGUGACAGGUGGUGCAUGGUUGUCGUCAGCUCGUGUCGUGAGAUGUUGGGUUAAGUCCCGCAACGAGCGCAACCCUUGUCGUUAGUUACUACCAUUAAGUUGAGGACUCUAGCGAGACUGCCUGGGUUAACCAGGAGGAAGGUGGGGAUGACGUCAAAUCAUCAUGCCCCUUAUGUGUAGGGCUACACACGUGCUACAAUGGCUGGUACAGAGAGAUGCAAUACCGCGAGGUGGAGCCAAACUUAAAAAACAGUCUCAGUUCGGAUUGUAGGCUGAAACUCGCCUACAUGAAGCUGGAGUUACUAGUAAUCGCGAAUCAGAAUGUCGCGGUGAAUACGUUCCCGGGUCUUGUACACACCGCCCGUCACACCAUGAGAGUUGGCAAUACCCGAA